This 253-nucleotide ribosomal RNA is filed under the name uncultured bacterium. RNAcentral describes it as "partial 16S ribosomal RNA". It matches the Rfam family "Bacterial small subunit ribosomal RNA", at positions 524 to 776 of the family's 1533-position model. The record is from RNAcentral.
UACGAAGGGGGCGAGCGUUGUUCGGAUUUACUGGGCGUAAAGGGCGCGCAGGCGGUCUUGAAAGUCAGGCGUGAAAGCCCCGGGCUUAACCUGGGAAUUGCGCUUGAUACUCUGAGACUGGAGUACGGGAGAGGGGAGUGGAAUUCCCAGUGUAGAGGUGAAAUUCGUAGAUAUUGGGAAGAACACCAGUGACGAAGGCGGCUCUCUGGACCGGAACUGACGCUGAGGCGCGAAAGCGUGGGGAGCAAACAGG